RNAcentral lists this ribosomal RNA (467 nucleotides) under uncultured bacterium. RNAcentral describes it as "partial 16S ribosomal RNA". It matches the Rfam family "Bacterial small subunit ribosomal RNA", at positions 28 to 507 of the family's 1533-position model. The record is from RNAcentral.
GAUGAACGCUGGCGGCGUGCUUAACACAUGCAAGUCGAACGGAAAGGCUCCUGCUUGCAGGGGUACUCGAGUGGCGAACGGGUGAGUAACACGUGGGUGAUCUGCCCUGCACUUCGGGAUAAGCCUGGGAAACUGGGUCUAAUACCGGAUAGGACCACAUUUUGGAUGGUGUGGUGGAAAGUUUUUCGGUGUGGGAGGAGCUCGCGGCCUAUCAGCUUGUUGGUGGGGUAAUGGCCUACCAAGGCGUCGACGGGUAGCCGGCCUGAGAGGGUGUACGGCCACAUUGGGACUGAGAUACGGCCCAGACUCCGACGGGAUGCAGCAGUGGGGAAUAUUGCACAAUGGGCGCAAGCCUGAUGCAGCGACGCCGCGUGGGGGAUGACGGCCUUCGGGUUGUAAACUCCUUUCGCUAGGGACGAAGCGUUUUUGUGACGGUACCUGGAGAAGAAGCACCGGCUAACUACGUG